Molecule: ribosomal RNA, 219 nt
Filed under: uncultured Crinalium sp.
Lineage: Bacteria; Bacillati; Cyanobacteriota; Cyanophyceae; Gomontiellales; Gomontiellaceae
Description: partial 16S ribosomal RNA
Rfam family: Bacterial small subunit ribosomal RNA
Source: RNAcentral
UGGCGGACGGGUGAGUAACGCGUGAGAAUCUGCCUUUAGAUCGGGACAACCAUUGGAAACGAUGGCUAAUACCGGAUAAGCCGAGAGGUGAAAGAUUAAUUGUCUAGAGAAGAGCUCGCGUCUGAUUAGCUAGUUGGUGGGGUAAAGGCCUACCAAGGCGACGAUCAGUAGCUGGUCUGAGAGGAUGAUCAGCCACACUGGGACUGAGACACGGCCCAG